RNAcentral lists this ribosomal RNA (710 nucleotides) under Arthrobacter sp. HJ7. RNAcentral's name for it is "bacterial SSU rRNA". It matches the Rfam family "Bacterial small subunit ribosomal RNA", at positions 60 to 783 of the family's 1533-position model. Lineage: Bacteria; Bacillati; Actinomycetota; Actinomycetes; Micrococcales; Micrococcaceae. The record is from RNAcentral.
AGUCGAACGAUGAUCCGGUGCUUGCACCGGGGAUUAGUGGCGAACGGGUGAGUAACACGUGAGUAACCUGCCCUUGACUCUGGGAUAAGCCUGGGAAACUGGGUCUAAUACCGGAUAUGACUCCUCAUCGCAUGGUGGGGGGUGGAAAGCUUUUGCGGUUUUGGAUGGACUCGCGGCCUAUCAGCUUGUUGGUGAGGUAAUGGCUUACCAAGGCGACGACGGGUAGCCGGCCUGAGAGGGUGACCGGCCACACUGGGACUGAGACACGGCCCAGACUCCUACGGGAGGCAGCAGUGGGGAAUAUUGCACAAUGGGCGCAAGCCUGAUGCAGCGACGCCGCGUGAGGGAUGACGGCCUUCGGGUUGUAAACCUCUUUCAGUAGGGAAGAAGCGAAAGUGACGGUACCUGCAGAAGAAGCGCCGGCUAACUACGUGCCAGCAGCCGCGGUAAUACGUAGGGCGCAAGCGUUAUCCGGAAUUAUUGGGCGUAAAGAGCUCGUAGGCGGUUUGUCGCGUCUGCCGUGAAAGUCCGGGGCUCAACUCCGGAUCUGCGGUGGGUACGGGCAGACUAGAGUGAUGUAGGGGAGACUGGAAUUCCUGGUGUAGCGGUGAAAUGCGCAGAUAUCAGGAGGAACACCGAUGGCGAAGGCAGGUCUCUGGGCAUUAACUGACGCUGAGGAGCGAAAGCAUGGGGAGCGAACAGGAUUAGAU